Molecule: ribosomal RNA, 459 nt
Filed under: uncultured bacterium
Lineage: Bacteria
Description: partial 16S ribosomal RNA
Rfam family: Bacterial small subunit ribosomal RNA
Source: RNAcentral
CCUACGGGAGGCAGCAGUGAGGAAUAUUGGUCAAUGGUCGGGAGACUGAACCAGCCAAGCCGCGUGAGGGAUGAAGGUACAGAGUAUCGUAAACCUCUUUUGUCAGGGAACAAAGGCGGGGACGCGUCCCCGGAUGAGUGUACCUGAAGAAAAAGCAUCGGCUAACUCCGUGCCAGCAGCCGCGGUAAUACGGAGGAUGCGAGCGUUAUCCGGAUUUAUUGGGUUUAACGGGUGCGCGGGCGGUCUGUUAAGUCAGCGGUCAAAGCCCGGGGCUCAACCCCGGCCCGCCGUUGAAACUGGCAGUCUCGAGUUGGAGAGAAGUAUGCGGAAUGCGCGGGGUAGCGGUGAAAGGCAUAGAUAUCGCGCAGAACUCCGAUUGCGAAGGCAGCAUGCCGGCUCCACACUGACGCUGAGGCACGAAAGCGUGGGUAUCGAACAGGAUUAGAUACCCGUGUAGUC